UUCUCCUGGCCCAUUCCAAGCCUCUAACUAGGCUACCACGUCCCUCUUCCAGUCUCCACUCUCCAUUCUAGGAGAGAGAGAUUCUCGGUUCAUACAGUUGGGGAAAUUUAGCUCCAAUGGCUCAGAUUCAGAGCCUAGACAAUGCUUCUCUCACUAUCACAUCCCUGAGGUUCUAACAACCUAAUUUAACUAUUUUAUUUUGCUCAGCAGUUGUUUUUUGUUUUUGAAAAGAUCUAUUAUCGUCCGCUAUAAUUUUCUUUGGAUCAUCUACCGGGAGAAGUCCCAGAAGGAGCUCAUAAACAUCCUCAAGAAUGUGACUCUACUCACUCAAUGAUUUCACUGUUUGGUUCCCGAGAAAAAACGUAGAAAAGAAAAUAGCCAUGAGAAACCGUGGCUGUUUUCUUCCCGUGGCUAUUUUCAGUUCAGUAGAAUUCAUGUUUUACCGGCCAUCAACGGUUGAGAUAUAUCAGAUUUACAGGGCUUGAAUUUGUUAGAAUGAUCUUAAAUGUGAUUUAUACUUAUUUAUUUUGUUUCGUAGUGGUUUACAGAUUCGAGGGAAGAAAUGCUUGAUAAUCUAUCCCCAGCUCAGGAGCUCUUCAUGGCUUGUCCCUUCCUAGAUCCUAAUUUUCAAUCGCAAGAAGCUGAUUCAGAUGCUUUGAGUAAAGAAAUUAUACAUAAGCAGGAGUCUCUUGUCAACGUCCAGCGUCUUCUCAUCUUAUUUUCCAUUACAAAUUCUGGGUUGCCUAUGAAGCAUUUUGACCAUUUGAGACAAGGACAGAAUGCAUUGUCAUCCUUUUAAUUCCUGGGGAUCAACCGUAUAACGAUGUUUAAUUUCUAUUUUUUUUUUUUUUUUUUACUCUUUGUCUCGGAGAGAGCUACUCCAAAGCUAUGGAUUUGAGCACAUGGGCUCGCUGAAUAUUCUAGAAUAAGCUGGAUUGCUUAAAAACAGGAGACAAGAAGCAACUGGCUGAAAAUCAAACGUGCUCUGCAACUUGUGGUUGAUGAGACUGACACAGCCAAGUAUUUUUCCUUUUUUACAAUAGCUUUUGGCUCUGCUCAGUGCUCCCUAAUUGAGGGUUGGGUUUCAUAGCAUUUGCAUUUGUUACAUUUAUCACCGGACUUGUGCCUUUUGGUAUAUGGUCCAAUAUUGCAAUGCAUGGCACAAAUAUUGAGUGACU
Carya illinoinensis is the source of this 1178-nucleotide long non-coding RNA. RefSeq lists it as uncharacterized. The record is from RefSeq and is a predicted model, not a curated record. The transcript is spliced from 2 exons. NCBI's taxonomy places the organism in Eukaryota, Viridiplantae, Streptophyta, Magnoliopsida, Fagales, Juglandaceae.